This 256-nucleotide ribosomal RNA is filed under the name uncultured bacterium. Its description in RNAcentral is "partial 16S ribosomal RNA". It matches the Rfam family "Bacterial small subunit ribosomal RNA", at positions 100 to 354 of the family's 1533-position model. The record is from RNAcentral.
CGGGUAGAGUAACACGUGAGGAAUCUGCCUUUGAGCGGGGACAACAUUUGGAAACGAAUGCUAAUACCGCAUAAAAACUUUAAACACAAGUUUUAAGUUUGAAAGAUGCAAUUGCAUCACUCAAAGAUGAUCCCGCGUUGUAUUAGCUAGUUGGUGAGGUAAAGGCUCACCAAGGCGAUGAUACAUAGCCGACCUGAGAGGGUGAUCGGCCACAUUGGGACUGAGACACGGCCCAAACUCCUACGGGAGGCAGCAG